Molecule: non-coding RNA, 895 nt
Organism: Acanthopagrus latus (yellowfin seabream)
Lineage: Eukaryota; Metazoa; Chordata; Actinopteri; Spariformes; Sparidae
Source: the annotation of a RefSeq genome assembly
CAUCAACCAUGUUUUUUGUAGCUCUGCUGCUGCUGUUGGCAGCUGGAUGUGUGAAGUGUGAACAGUUGACACAGCCAGCCUCUGUGACUGUGCAGCCAGGUCAACGUCUGACCAUCACCUGUCAAGUCUCUUAUUCUGUUAGCAGCUAUCGCACUCACUGGAUCAGAGAGCCUGCAGGGAAAGGACUGGAGUGGAUUGGAAGUGCACGUGUGGGAUACAGCACAUUCUACAAAGAUUCACUGAAGAACAAGUUCAGUAUCAGCUCAGACACUUCCAGCAACAGAGUGACUCUAAAUGGACAGAAUGUGCAGUCUGAAGACACUGCUGUGUAUUACUGUGCCAGAGAGCCACAAUAACACAAACCAUCAGUAGACCUGAACAAAAACCCCUCAGUGCCUGAACACUUGUAACAUGAAGCCACCAGAGGAGGAGCCCUCAGACCACUAAUGAUCUCAGCACCAUCACAAUGUAACUGUAAAGAGAGGAAGAGAUAUACAUUGUACUGAAAAGUGAAAUUAAUAUGACAUUCUUCAUUAUGAGACCUAAACAUCAAACAUCAUAACAUCAAACAUCGCAGACAUUUUCCAAAAGUUCUCUGUCUGACUCUCAAUAUUUCUGUAAAUUGCUGACAGCAUUAUUUCAGCUCACAACAUCGUUAUUCAAAGUUCUCCAUCUUCUUUAUUUUCAUUCACAUUGGUGUUUUCAUCCAGAAAUUGGUUUGACUAUUGAACACAGUUUUUUAAUUAAGAAAAUGAACAGUACGGAGAACAGAAAUGAGAAAAAUCUGUCAUCGUCUUUCACAUAAAGCCUGUGUCAUGUUGAAUGUAUAAUCAUAAAUAGUAAUAUACAACAAAGAGGAGUGACUUAUUUCAACACUACAGUUAAUAUUUGAAUA